GCCGGGGCGCAGCGCGCUGGGGAGCGGGUUGGGGGCUGCUAGGGCUGCGGGGCGGGAAGGAGGCGGCAGUGUGUGUGUGUGUGUGUGUGUGUGUGUGUGGGCAGGUGUGUGUGUGUGUGUACGUGUGUGCGCGCGCGCCCUGCAGCGGCCGGCCAGCCGGAGGGAAGACCCCGGCGGGAAGACUGCGUCCCGUCCGGCCUUCCCGGGCCUGUCACUUGGGCGGUGGCGUGGGAGCGGCGAGGCUGCUCGGGGGGCAGCCGGGUGGGCCCAGCUCUAGGGGAGAUUCGGGUCAGCCCCUGAGCCCAGCCUCCCGGCUGUGCCUGCUGGAAGCAGACGGAGGGAAGGCCGGGCGUCUUUGGCCCACCGCGCGGCCGCUCCCCUCCCGGGCCAGGCUGAACGGGCGGGCGCAGCCCAGAGGCCCGGGCUCUGCCACCGAUCCGCCUCCAUACUGACCCGAGCUGCGGCGCCUGCAAGAUUAAUGAAGCAUCCGCGAUUCGGUAGAGGCGGCACGGGGAGGAAAGACACAAGAUCGUGCUGCCCCCCUCUCCCCACCCUUCUCAGCCUCCUAGGACCUAAAGGCGUAGGCUGCGUCUGCUGGGCGCGUCCGGAGUGGUCCAGAGAGAUCGCCAUCCACCACUGCAUCCGUCCAGUUCUUUGUGGACCCUCACAGAAGCUCAAUCAAUUUCCCACCCUCUGGAAAAGGGGUGAAGAUGGAAAAUGGAAAAGAACGCCAUCAGAGUGGUGACACUGACGAGAAAAGCCAAUUCAUAAUUUAGUUUAAUGAAAUGAGUUAGUAAUCAACCACUAAUGUCUAGGAAAUUGGCCUUUUUUGAAAACUGGUUUUCCCUUUCUCCACCCCUUUUUUUUUCAAAUUAAAAGACUAGUAUCCCACUGUUGUUGUUUUAAUUUUUAUUGUUUUCAGGGAUGGGGUCUGCUGCCAAGGCUGGAUUCGAACUCCUGAACCCAAGAGAUCCUCCUCAAGGGAUCUUCCCCAUCUCAGCCUCCCAAGUAGCUGGGACUACAGGCCAAUUCCACCGCACCCUGCCUAACAUCACAUUGUUCAGGAACCUCAACUUACAUUCCAUUUUUACAAAAUAUCCAUAUUCUGGUUCAUACUUCUUGGAGCCCAAAUUUUUUGUAGUCUAGCCUCUUGGAAAGGAGCGGUUAAGAAGGGAGGGUAGAUAAAUUGAGAUUUCAAUCAGGGGCAGCCAGCCCCAUCCCUUUCACCACUGGUGACUUGUUUCAUUUCUUCUUUCUUUCCUCAUCUGUAAAGGCAUUGAUAAUGAUCGUUCCUACCUCAUAAGCUUGUGAAAGUAAAAAGAAAAUAAAACGAGGUGGCAAUGCAUGUAAAACACUUUGCAUAGUGCCUGACACAUGGGUGAGAACUCAAUAAAUAGAAGCUAUUGUUUCAGACUUGAUUAUUUUAAACUCAAAUUUGGUAGAAUUUUAUUCUCUUUCCAUUCCUUCUGAAAAGUUAGGGAGGAGAAUGGACACAGCUGAUGGAUUUAUUCAAAUGUAGUCCACUCUUCCCUUGGGUUUUUACGCCCUGCCUGAAACUUUUGCCUGUGGUAAAAUGAAAUAAAUACAUAACUGAGGGGUGUGUGUGUG
RNAcentral lists this long non-coding RNA (1608 nucleotides) under Homo sapiens (human). RNAcentral describes it as "non-protein coding lnc-EDEM3-6:3". Lineage: Eukaryota; Metazoa; Chordata; Mammalia; Primates; Hominidae. The record is from RNAcentral.